CUGCAGAUUGUGAGCAACAAGAGAAGAAAUAAUCUGAAGUAACAGGGUCCCAGUGGCUAAGGACUUUUACCAUUUCUCUUGUAAUGAGAAACUGGAAAGUAAUCCCAGACCUUUCCAGGUUGAUUUGUUGCUCAUGUGACUGGAGAGAACUAUAUGCGGUUCUCAUUCCAUAGUUUGGGCUCAGUCAUUAACUAAUUGUUUGUUUCAGGUGUUGUUCUACGUAGCCGUGUGGCCUGGGUGACCCAGGUGACAUGGAACACCGGGUCAACACUCUCCCCAUCCCCUUCUGCUUGAACAAUGUUUAUUUUUCUCUUACGGUGCACUUCACAAUACAUCUGCACAUGCUGUUCUCUUUCUAGAAUGUACUGUGCUGCCUUUUGCUCUAAGUUAGUUUCUACACAGCCUUUAAGAGCCAGUGUAAAUGUCACUUUUAAAUCAGUCUUUCUUGACUCCCCCAACAAGUUAUAUUGUCAGUACCUGCUCUUUUCAUGACCAUUGUACACACAUCAAUUAUAACACAAAGUCACUUGUUUACCUUCUCUUCUCUCCAGAUAAACUGGGAACUACAUUAUGUACAGAUUACUCCUCACUGUUCUUUAAUCCCCACUACCACUGUACUGGACUCUUGCAAAUUGCCAGCACAUAAUAAGCACCUGGCAAAUGUUUGCCAAGAUAGAUGUCAUCACCAGGGGAGGCAGCUGGGCCUCACCAGUUCUUGAAAUAUCCCAAGAUAUUUCAGUUGGGGGUAUUUCAGGACGUACAGUUGACUUUCUGCGAACAAAUACCUGGCCUUAGUUGUUUUUGCUGAAUACAUAGACUAUGACUGUAUUUGAUUGGUAGAUGUCAUCUUUGUACCAGACAGCGAUCUGCUGAUCAAUCAGCCUGGUUAGAAGAAAGAGAAUGUUCUCCUUACUUGAUGAGUGAACUGUAGUUAUACCCUCCCCAGUGAAAUAGUUGCCAACUGCUUUGUACGAGCUAAUGAUUAUUGUAUGUAACACACAGGCUUAUUUAUUUAUUUAUAGCAGGGAAGGGAGGGAGAAAGAGAGGGAGGAAAACUUCAAUGCAUGGUCGCCUCUCACUGGCCCCCUAGUGGGGACCUGGCCUGAAACCCAGGCAUGUGCCCUGACUGGGUAUUGAACCAGCAAGCCUUUGAUUUGCAGGCCAGCACUCAAUCUAUCUGAGCCACACCAGUCAGGGAAUAACACACGUGCUUUUAUAAUUUAUUAAAUUAUAAUAAUUAUUACUGUUAAGAAAUAAUUUGAACUUUUAUUGCCAGGACUUUAUCAGAGGAGGACCCAACUCUAAGUAAAAUUAGAAUGCUCCCUUUAAAAAGGUAAUUAGUUCAGUCAUUUUGAAGACAGGCCAGUAGCAAACUGUACAUUUGAACUCAGGGUCGAUGUGUCAUUUAUUCUUUUGUUCCUUCCUUCUUCCUCAAACAUUUUGACAGGCCCUGUUUUAGACAUAAGGGAUACAAAGUGAAGGAACCGCAUCCUCCUACCCUCCAGUUGAUUUCUUUCUCGGGCUUUUCAUUUACAAAAAGAGAAGGAUCAAAAAAAAAUUGUAAAAAUCAUCAUCUGAAAUUUGUAAAAAAAUUCAUUAAGAGGAGAAGUUGGUAGCUGGUGAUUAGCUUUCUGUCAGUUGAGACAGAAUGCACUUGGAAGUUCCCAUGAGAUAAUAAAAGUCAUUAUUUAAUUGCCAUAAAUCCAGAUUGUCUUAACUUUUCCCUAUUAUAUUCAUAUUGUAUUAAAUGAAUAUAAGAUAAGGCCCCUGAUCUUGAGAACUUCAAGAGUGAUAUUUUUAUGAGGCUCUGAAAUUCUUUGCCAGCAUGAUGAAAAGCUAGCAUUAUUAUGCAUAUAAAGAAGUUGCAGGAAAGAAGUUUCUAAGAGUCUGACUGGCUUAGUCUAGGCCAGGGAUUCUCAAAGUGUGAUCCUUGAACUAGCAGCAUUUGUCACCUGGGAACUUGUGGAAGAGGCAAAUUCAUAGUCCCUAACCCAGGGCUACUGAGUCUGAAACUCUGGGAGCAAGGAGGGGUGGCGAUCAAUGCUUUAACAGACUGUGUGAUUCUAAUGCAUGCUCAGGUGUGAUCGAUAACCACCGCUCCCAUCUAGACCCUUAAUAUUCACAGUGUGGUCCACAGACCAGCAGCAUCAGCAUCCCCUGGGAGCUCAUUAGGAAGUGUUGGGCCCCAUUCCAGGGAUGCUGAGUCAGUAUUUGCACUUUACCAGGAUUCCCCAGUGAUGUGUAUGUACCUUCCGUUUGUGAAGCCCAGCUCAAGACAGAUUGUACCUUAAAGAGCAUUGAGCCAGGGCCAGACGAUGACUCCUCCCAUCUCAGUCAUUACAUCACUGAGGCUCGUUGACAUGUUCCGCUUCCCUAUGCACUUGUGUGUUACCAUUAUAAACUGAUGUUUUGAAAACCUGGACAGCACCAAGUUUUCUUGCAGAGCAAGUUCAGCUCCUGACCACAAAGACUGAGGGUGGUGCCACCUGAAACAUAAUUAGUUUGCCAGUUGCCAAUAGAUAGCUGUUAAAAUUGUCAGAUUUCCUCAUUCUUAAGAUAUAAUUAAGGUUUUUUGUCUGAAGCAAGGGUAAUGGAAUUUCUGACAUAAGGCCAAAAUGCAGGCAUAGGUAGAAAAACUUUUCUUCCUCACACAACCAAUUUAAAAACAACAACAACCAGAAAUGCCAGAAUAGUAAACUGUAUGGAAUUCUGACAACCAAGGAGUUAAAAUAACAUUCAUCCAGACUGGUGCAUGGAGACAAAGAAAUAUGGUCCAAAAUGAAAGAACAGAUGAAAACUCCAGAAAAAGAGCUAAGCAAUGAGGAGGUAGACAACCUAUAAGAUGCAGAGUUCAAAACACCGCGAUCAGGAUGCUCACAGAAUUGAUUGAGCUCAAUUGCAAAAUGAAGGAAGAAAUAAAAGAUACACAAAGUGAAAUAAAGGAAAUACUCAGAGAACCAACAGUGAAGGGAAGGAAACUGGGACUCAAAUUAAUGAUUUGGAACAAAAGGAAGAAAUAAAUAUCAAACCGAAACAGAAUGAAGAAACAAGAAUUAAAAAAAAAUGAAGACAGGGUUUUAAACCUCUGGGACAAAAUAGACAAGGGGAGGUUAAAAAUAGUAUAGGAAAUAGAGAAGCCAAGAACUGAUAUGUAUGACCCAUGGACGUGAACUAAAGUGGGGAAUGCUGGAGGAUGGGGGAGAGUAUUGCGAAGCGGGGAUUAAGGGGAGAAAAAAAUUGGGACAACUAUAAUAGCAAAAUCAAUAAAAUAUACUUAAAAAAAGAAUUUCCAACAUAAGUUGGUCAAGCAGACUUACAAAAUAAUGAGUAAGGGGGAAACCUUGGGAUUUCUCAGCCUGGUAUUACUUUAACAUUGGCAAGGACCAGUAGAGUCAAUCUGAUUAAUAAGGGACUGCAAUUCUUUCAUAAUGGGUUGGUAAGUGCCUGUUGUCCCCAAGCCACCCUGGCUGCCCAGCUCUUCCUUUGGGCUCUUCCUAGACAGCCCACGACGUAGCACUCAACAAUCAAAGUAUUUUUUUUUCUGGCACACUAGGGGCCCCAGGACGUUAAAUCAUGUGAUUUACAUCUCUUCUGAAUUUGUUGGUGCUCCUCCCCUAUGACUUGUUAGAUACAGUCAGUCCUCACUACUGGCAGAUUCUCCGUUUGUCAAUAUGCUUACUUGCUAAAAUUUGUGACACCCAGUCAAUACUCAUGGUUCCUUUGAAGUCAUCUGUGGACACGGGCAGAGUGUUGAAAAUCUGACUUGCCCAACAUGCAGAUUCCUGUUGAAUAAAGCGAUGCCCUGCCUUCUUGUUCCAGCUCUCAGACUGUCCCUUUCACAAUUUAUUUAGCACCGUGGUUUUUGUGUGUGUGCGUGUGGCAUUUUGUUGGUGACCCACUGUUUAAAAUGGCCCUGAAGAGUGGUGCCGAAUGCUGUCUAGUGUUCCAAGUGCAGAAGGCUGUGAUGGGCCUUAAAGAGAAAAUGCACGUGUUAGAUAAGCAUCGUUCAGGCGCGAAUUACAGUGCUGUCGGCCAUGAGCUCAAUGUAAUCCACAAUACAUAUUAGACGAGGUGCCUUUCAACAGAAACACACGUACAACAAGGUUCCGUAUCCAUUGGGUGAUGGAAAUGUGACCGGAGGCUCAGAGGGAUCCAACCCUGUCACCUCCCCUAGAAGCAGUGGUUCGAUGUUCACUAAUCCGGUGUUGGUGGCACAUGUGUGCAGCACAGCUUCUGUGAAGGAGAGUCAACUGUAUUUAGACUAUCGCCCAGUUUAUAAGUGUUUUUAAUCUAGCUUUUAAAAAUCCUUGAUAGCUUUGCUGAACAUGUAAAGAGUGCCAUCACCCUAACUUCCCCCUGGAUUGUGAGUUUUGAAGUAUUUGCUGAGUGGAAAUGGGGGAUGGGAUUGUCCAGUGCUGCAGAAAGAAAUUUCUGAAAAGGUCUGUGUGUCUUCCUCUGUGUAUUGAGAGGCAGCAUCUACUAAAUGUUUGCUGCCUAUGGUUAAUUGACUGGGGAUCUUAAAGGGGAAAACCCACGAGUCACUGAUGGAACUGUGGGGAGGGCCAGAGACCCCGUUAGAGCCCUACCCGACAGCCCUUGUAAAGUUCAUGACCCCUUGCAUGACGAACGUGAGAAGCUGUGUUCCCUGCCCUUAAGAACGCAAAGCCAUGAGCAAGACGGCCAUGUAAAACGAGUCAUUCUCACUUCGUAAUCAUAGUUAUAUUCAAACCAAUGUUGGAGAAGUGUGGGAGACUGGAGGAGAAAAUGCCUGGUUUUUCCAGGAGGUUUCACGGAGAAUGAACUAUUUAAGCUGAAUUUGAAGUAGGGAGAGCUCCUUAGGCAGAGAGAAAGAGAGGAAAGCAGAGAGAGAGAGAGAGAAAGAGAGAAACAUCGAUAGGUUGCUUCCUGCAAGUGCCCCGACUAGGAGUCAACCCCACAACCUCGCGAUCACACAGCUCAGCGUGGCCUCUCGGUAUCAGCAAUAGACCGGCAUCCCUUACAGAGCCUCUGGAUUUUCUCUUGUUCCCUGUUAUUUUCCAUCCAGUUGUUGGCCAGGCCUCCUCGAGGUACCCUGCAGCCUGGCUGAAGGAAUCCUCACGGGACACUUUGCAUGUGUCAUUCCUUGAUGUCUCCAGCCUUUUCCUUUCUUGUUCUCAUGCUGCCUCACUUCUGAGUUUGUUUCGGAGGAGCAGGAGCUGAUGUCCACAGGUCUUGACCCUGAAAGUAUGCAAAGGCUGGAGCUAUUUUUGCCAACUAAAAACCGCAAGGAGUUGUCUGUUCUGAGGAUGGAGCUGCUGGUAAGGAAGAAAUUUCUCUGGGAACGGAGAGGAAAAACCCAAGAUCUGCUGACAAGGUUGCAGCUGCUGGGCCCACUUAUGCCAGAAGCUGGACACCUCCUGCUCUUUUCAGUCAUGAUAUCCAGAAAACUGCCCGUUCGUCAUAUUUUCUGUCACCUGCAAACAGACAUUCCUUGGGAACGCACCCUGAUGCCACGCUGCUCAGGCGCUUGCAGACGCCCAGGAAGGCCGGGUGCUGCUCUUCCUGCCCAAAGCCCAGGUUUCUUACGCAUGAAGCCCCGACAUCAGAAUUCCAGUUCAUCCCUCCGCCCUGCUGUGCUGUUUCUCGCUGCAUAAAUCUAUGAUAGGAAGACAUGCCACCUGAUUAGGACACUUGGGAGAUCCUUUGUUUUCCCAAAAUGUUAGCAAAAGUGCACUGUGUCUUAAUAUUGCUUACUCUUGCUUUUACUGCCUUAAAAAAAAUCUUUUCC
Artibeus jamaicensis (Jamaican fruit-eating bat) is the source of this 5767-nucleotide long non-coding RNA. RefSeq lists it as uncharacterized. The record is from RefSeq and is a predicted model, not a curated record. The transcript has 4 exons. Lineage: Eukaryota; Metazoa; Chordata; Mammalia; Chiroptera; Phyllostomidae.